CCUACGGGGGGCUGCAGUGGGGAAUAUUGCACAAUGGGCGCAAGCCUGAUGCAGCAAUGCCGCGUGUGUGAAGAAGGCCUUCGGGUUGUAAAGCACUUUCAGCGGGGAGGAAGGCGUUAAGGUUAAUAACCUUGGCGAUUGACGUUACCCGCAGAAGAAGCACCGGCUAACUCCGUGCCAGCAGCCGCGGUAAUACGGAGGGUGCAAGCGUUAAUCGGAAUUACUGGGCGUAAAGCGCACGCAGGCGGUCUGUCAAGUCGGAUGUGAAAUCCCCGGGCUCAACCUGGGAACUGCAUUCGAAACUGGCAGGCUAGAGUCUUGUAGAGGGGGGUAGAAUUCCAUGUGUAGCGGUGAAAUGCGUAGAGAUCUGGAGGAAUACCGGUGGCGAAGGCGGCCCCCUGGACAAAGACUGACGCUCAGGUGCGAAAGCGUGGGGAGCAAACAGGAUUAGAUACCCGGGUAGUC
RNAcentral lists this ribosomal RNA (465 nucleotides) under uncultured Klebsiella sp. RNAcentral describes it as "bacterial SSU rRNA". It matches the Rfam family "Bacterial small subunit ribosomal RNA", at positions 338 to 795 of the family's 1533-position model. Lineage: Bacteria; Pseudomonadati; Pseudomonadota; Gammaproteobacteria; Enterobacterales; Enterobacteriaceae. The record is from RNAcentral.